GGGAAUGUAGCUCAGUGGUAGAGUGCUUGCCUAGCAUGCAUGAAGCCCUGGGUUCGAUCCCUCAGUACCA
RNAcentral lists this transfer RNA (70 nucleotides) under Dipodomys ordii (Ord's kangaroo rat). It matches the Rfam family "tRNA". Rfam says of the family: Transfer RNA (tRNA) molecules are approximately 80 nucleotides in length. Their secondary structure includes four short double-helical elements and three loops (D, anti-codon, and T loops). The record is from Rfam by way of RNAcentral. Lineage: Eukaryota; Metazoa; Chordata; Mammalia; Rodentia; Heteromyidae.